Molecule: long non-coding RNA, 974 nt
Organism: Haliotis rubra (blacklip abalone)
Lineage: Eukaryota; Metazoa; Mollusca; Gastropoda; Lepetellida; Haliotidae
Exons: 3
Source: RefSeq, a predicted model, not a curated record
GAACAACUAUUUUUUAUUUAUUUUGACAGCACGAACAAAUACUGCAUUUGUGUUUUGAAAACAAUCAUACUCAAAGGAAAUUUCAGUCUAUGUCAAAUUGAAAUAAUUCAACUUCCUACUCUAUCAUUUUCUGCAGAUACUUGACAUUUUUUAACUUAGUUUUAUACUGAAAACCCCGUGAAACACAAACUCCCAGAGUCCCUGUCAGGCAACUGAUAACGAGAUGUCAAACUAAGCGGGAGGUACAAAGAAGAUUCGUAUGAUGCGAUAACAGAAACCUAGGAACAGACGCUGUAGCCAGCUAAAUGCUUAACAUGUCUCGACAGUCGUGGCCUGAACUUGUUGGGAAGCCAUGGAAGGAAGCUGAAGAUGCUAUACGGAGGGAUUACCCUAAUUUAUCUAUUCAAGUACUACCUGAAAACUCCCGGGUGAACCAAGAUGUCCGACCAGACCGAAUGUGCGUAUCAUCAUGAAAGGAGAUGGGACAGUGGCUCAACCUCCACAUAUUGGAUGAGAUUAAGAUGGAGAGCCCGAACCCAAUCUGUUUACAAGAUUUCAUCAAGUCCUACUGUCAUCUCUAUUUAAUUCCAGAAAGGAGAGUGCCUCCACACAUUGGAUAAGAUUGAGAUGGAGAAACUGCACCCAAUUCAUUUACAAGAUUCAUCAAGUCCUACUAUCAUCUUUACCUAGUUCCAAUGUGAAAGGGCGGUGGGGUAGCCUUGUGGUUAAAGCGUUCGCUCAUCACGCCGAAGACCCAGGUUCGAUUCCCCACAUGGGUGCAAUGUGUGAAGCCCAUUUAUGGUGUCCCCCGCGUGAUAUUGCUGGAAUAUUGCUAAAAGCGGCGUAAAACUAAACUCACUCACUCCAAUGUGAAAGGAGAGCAUGCUUCCACACAGGGGCGGAUACAGGAUUUCCGUUUGGGGGGGGUGCACCCCAAUCCUCGGAACCCUGGGCAUAAAACAUGUAGUACAUUU